This 497-nucleotide ribosomal RNA is filed under the name uncultured bacterium. RNAcentral's name for it is "partial 16S ribosomal RNA". It matches the Rfam family "Bacterial small subunit ribosomal RNA", at positions 28 to 507 of the family's 1533-position model. The record is from RNAcentral.
GAUGAACGCUGGCGGCGUGCCUAAUACAUGCAAGUCGAGCGAACGGACGAGAAGCUUGCUUCUCUGAUGUUAGCGGCGGACGGGUGAGUAACACGUGGAUAACCUACCUAUAAGACUGGGAUAACUUCGGGAAACCGGAGCUAAUACCGGAUGAUACUUUGAACCGCAUGGUUCAAAAGUGAAAGACGGUCUUGCUGUCACUUAUAGAUGGAUCCGCGCUGCAUUAGCUAGUUGGUAAGGUAACGGCUUACCAAGGCAACGAUGCAUAGCCGACCUGAGAGGGUGAUCGGCCACACUGGAACUGAGACACGGUCCAGACUCCUACGGGAGGCAGCAGUAGGGAAUCUUCCGCAAUGGGCGAAAGCCUGACGGAGCAACGCCGCGUGAGUGAUGAAGGUCUUCGGAUCGUAAAACUCUGUUAUUAGGGAAGAACAUAUGUGUAAGUAACUGUGCACAUCUUGACGGUACCUAAUCAGAAAGCCACGGCUAACCACGUG